This 392-nucleotide ribosomal RNA is filed under the name uncultured bacterium. Its description in RNAcentral is "bacterial SSU rRNA". It matches the Rfam family "Bacterial small subunit ribosomal RNA", at positions 28 to 422 of the family's 1533-position model. The record is from RNAcentral.
GACGAACGCUGGCGGCGUGCUUAACACAUGCAAGUCGAGCGGUAAGGCCCUUUCGGGGGUACACGAGCGGCGAACGGGUGAGUAACACGUGGGUGACCUGCCCUCAGCUCUGGGAUAAGCCUGGGAAACCGGGUCUAAUACCGGAUAUGACUCCAUGACGCAUGUUGUGGGGUGGAAAGCCUUGUGCGGCUGAGGAUGGGCCCGCGGCCUAUCAGCUUGUUGGUGGGGUGAUGGCCUACCAAGGCGACGACGGGUAGCCGGCCUGAGAGGGCGACCGGCCACACUGGGACUGAGACACGGCCCAGACUCCUACGGGAGGCAGCAGUGGGGAAUCUUGCGCAAUGGGCAAAGCCUGACGCAGCGACGCCGCGUGAGGGAUGACGGCCUGGUGU